GGAAAAAAACAUCUUUUCGACCAGGAUGAGGAGACAUGUUGGAACUCAGACCAGGUUCACAGGGCACUCAGGCUCUCCACAAGAUUGUAGAUUUCUACCCUGAGGACAACAACUCGCUUCAGAUAUCCUGCCCCUGCUUCUGGGGUGGGUGGUCUGUGCCUCUGGAAGCUUUGGACUCACCCAAACCCGAAUGGGAACCCUGAUGUGUGAUCUUGAACACGUGACCUCUAGGACUCCACUUUUUCUGUAAAAUGGUGCUGAUGACCACCUGUUCUGUGUGAGAGGCUUAGAGGGACCUGCAGCUUCCCCAGGUUGCCCACAUCGGUGGAGUGUGAGCUGGGUCUGGAAGGGGUGGGGGCCUGCGGGUGGGAAACC
Molecule: long non-coding RNA, 375 nt
Filed under: Homo sapiens (human)
Lineage: Eukaryota; Metazoa; Chordata; Mammalia; Primates; Hominidae
Description: non-protein coding lnc-BORCS8-2:1
Source: RNAcentral